UACGUAGGGUGCAAGCGUUGUCCGGAAUUAUUGGGCGUAAAGAGCUCGUAGGCGGUCUGCCGCGUCGGCUGUGAAAACCCGGGGCUCAACCCCGGGCCUGCAGCCGAUACGGGCAGACUAGAGUGCGGUAGGGGAGACUGGAAUUCCUGGUGUAGCGGUGAAAUGCGCAGAUAUCAGGAGGAACACCGGUGGCGAAGGCGGGUCUCUGGGCCGGAACUGACGCUGAGGAGCGAAAGCGUGGGGAGCGAACAGG
Molecule: ribosomal RNA, 253 nt
Filed under: uncultured bacterium
Lineage: Bacteria
Description: partial 16S ribosomal RNA
Rfam family: Bacterial small subunit ribosomal RNA
Source: RNAcentral